RNAcentral lists this microRNA precursor (106 nucleotides) under Marmota monax (woodchuck). Lineage: Eukaryota; Metazoa; Chordata; Mammalia; Rodentia; Sciuridae. The record is from RNAcentral.
UAAUGGAUUACCUGGGGCUAUUGUUAGAAUUGCAGAUUCUAAAUCCACAGUUCUUACAGGGGGUUUGACACUCUACAUUUCUAACAAGCUUUCUGGUAGUAUGGAU